AGUGCAAUAGCAAAAAUGCAUUUUGCAUAAUAAAUAUAUAUAAACUAAACGUUUUGGGAUUGGUGGGAAAAAAAUUAUUUUACAUAUACUUUUAGAGAAAUAUGAUGUGGACAAUAUUUUUACAAAAAAUUUUAAACUAGGAGGAUGCUAAUCGGAUAAUAACGUAGGAUAUAGAAUUUGUGAUAAAAAAGCGGUAGAGUUAGAAAAUUUAUCAAAUUUUAUUGCUAAUCGAGGGGCCUGCCUAGGUUUCCUAUAAAAAUAAAAUGAAAGAAGAGCACGUAGUAGGAUGGGAUUGAAAUUGAAAGGGAAGGGUAGUCUUCUUGUCUUUCAUUUCAUUUCAUAUCUGUGAGCAAGAUUGAUCCGAUCACAGUAAUUAAUUAAUAAAUUAAAAAAGAAGAAAUGUGGAGGCGGAAGCAGAGUAGCAGUAGUACGGAAGUGGGUUGCAUUGCGUGCGAGGAGCUGAGCUUGGUUGGGGCCGGAAAGGAAGGGUGGCUCGUGGAGGACCCAAAUCUUGUGUGCGCUCUGGACACUCACGCACUAGCGCUCGCCCACAACUCCCUCAUACUCCUCCUCGGAUUCGGAUCUUCUUCUUCUUCUUCGCCCGAUUCCCGUGUCAGCAUCCGACCCGAUUUGUCCCCGAUCGAGUCCGAGCAUAUUACAGCCAUUGAGUGGCUCGUUUUUGAAGAUUACGAUAUUCGGGUUGUUGUGGCCGGCACCUCUUCCGGCUAUUUGCUCUUUUACUCUCUGCUUGGUCAUUUCAUUCACAAACAGAUGAUAUAUCCUGGGCGAAUUCUAAAGUUGAGAGUUCGUGGAACAAAGAGAGAUUUGACCCAAGACACUACUUCCUCAGAAGAAGUCUGUGUUGUCAUGCCAGGCAUAGUUGCUCGCUUUGAUGGUUCUCAUAUUCAGAGUAUGCUGCGCCAAUGGUUUGAAGAAACACAUACUCAGUAUUGGGAUCAGAAACCAAAAAAGCGAGGUUCAGAGGGCCCAGAAACUCCUUAUGGAAGAUUACCUUUCCAGUUAUGGAAUGUUAGCAAGUAUGGCACUUGUGCUGAUGCUGCAAUCACUGGUAUAAUGCCUCCACCACUGAUGGAACUCCAGUCAAGUCAGCGUUAUUACUGUGCGGUCGCUGUUGGAGAGGAUGCUGUUGUUUCGGCAUUCAGGCUUUCAGAAGACAAAAGCAGGUCUUUAGUGGGAGCUAUUUUAUCAAAAGUUGUUCCUGCAACAUUUUCGACAAUUGCUUCUGUUUCAAGAAUGUUUUGGCGGAGUGAACAAAUGUCACCAAGAAAAUCGGAAGUGAAGACUCAAUCAUUUGCUCGAGCUUCUCCUUUGACGUGUUUGAAGGAUCACCCAAGGAAGGGUGAGAAGCUGACCCUCUCACCUAGUGGUACAUUAGCUGCAAUAACAGAUUCACUUGGUCGUAUAUUGCUCUUAGACACUCAGGCACUUGUGGUGGUGCGGUUAUGGAAGGGAUACCGCGAUGCUAGCUGCCUAUUCAUGGAGAUGCUAGUCAAAAGAGAUACUGCUGCAGCAUCAAGUUCCAAUUAUUAUGAACCAGUGAAGAGUGAUUACUGUUUGUGUUUGGCUAUUCAUGCACCUCGAAAAGGAAUUGUUGAGGAGAACCAUGGUCCAAAAGAGCCCUCCAUCAUCCGGAACAUUCCAAAUUAAUGCUUGUGCACUAGAAUCAGUUUUCUGUCACCUCUUGUACGUUUCAAAGGAGGCUUCCAGUUACAUUCCUUGUCACAAAAAGUUCAAGAUUGGAAAAUUUGAAACCUCAAAAGGCAUGCCAUUCUCAUCAUUAAUUUUGCUGGCCUUAAGGGUGCUUCAUUUUUAAUCUUUAGAUCUGGCAGAUGAGAACUGGACCACGUCUUCGGAUUAUUCAAUGUGCCAAAGGUGCUAAAAUACUGCAACCUACCUAUAGAUUUGGA
Molecule: RNA transcript, 1928 nt
Organism: Quercus lobata
Lineage: Eukaryota; Viridiplantae; Streptophyta; Magnoliopsida; Fagales; Fagaceae
Gene name: Rab3 GTPase-activating protein non-catalytic subunit
Exons: 9
Source: RefSeq, a predicted model, not a curated record